Molecule: ribosomal RNA, 106 nt
Filed under: uncultured bacterium
Lineage: Bacteria
Description: partial 16S ribosomal RNA
Rfam family: Bacterial small subunit ribosomal RNA
Source: RNAcentral
UAGGGAAUUUUCGUCAAUGGGGGCAACCCUGAACGAGCAAUGCCGCGUGAGCGAAGAAGGUCUUCGGAUUGUAAAGCUCUGUUGCCGGGGAAAAAGGAAGGAAAGA